GACGAACGCUGGCGGCGUGCUUAACACAUGCAAGUCGAACGGAAAGGCCCUGCUUGCAGGGUGCUCGAGUGGCGAACGGGUGAGUAACACGUGGGUGAUCUGCCCCUUAUUUUGGGAUAAGCCUGGGAAACUGGGUCUAAUACUGGAUAGGACCAUGCUGUAGGUGGUGUGGUGGAAAGAUUAGUUUCGGUAAGGGAUGAGCUCGCGGCCUAUCAGCUGGUUGGUGGGGUAAUGGCCUACCAAGGCGUCGACGGGUAGCCGGCCUGAGAGGGUGGACGGCCACAUUGGGACUGAGAUACGGCCCAGACUCCUACGGGAGGCAGCAGUGGGGAAUAUUGCACAAUGGGCGCAAGCCUGAUGCAGCGACGCCGCGUGGGGGAUGACGGCCUUCGGGUUGUAAACUCCUUUCAGCCAUGACGAAGCCCUUGUGGUGACGGUAGUGGUAGAAGAAGCACCGGCUAACUACGUG
This 469-nucleotide ribosomal RNA is filed under the name uncultured bacterium. Its description in RNAcentral is "partial 16S ribosomal RNA". It matches the Rfam family "Bacterial small subunit ribosomal RNA", at positions 28 to 507 of the family's 1533-position model. The record is from RNAcentral.